Molecule: ribosomal RNA, 465 nt
Filed under: uncultured bacterium
Lineage: Bacteria
Description: partial 16S ribosomal RNA
Rfam family: Bacterial small subunit ribosomal RNA
Source: RNAcentral
CCUACGGGUGGCUGCAGUGGGGAAUAUUGCGCAAUGGGCGAAAGCCUGACGCAGCGACGCCGCGUGAGGGAUGAAGGUCUUCGGAUCGUAAACCUCUGUCAGCAGGGAAGAACGGUCACUGUGCUAAUCAGCAGUGAAUUGACGGUACCUGAGUAAGAAGCCCCGGCUAACUACGUGCCAGCAGCCGCGGUAAUACGUAGGGGGCAAGCGUUAUCCGGAUUUACUGGGUGUAAAGGGAGCGUAGACGGCAGUGCAAGUCUGGAGUUAAAGGCGGGGGCUCAACCCCCGGACUGUUCUGGAAACUGUACGGCUGGAGGGCAGGAGAGGUAAGGGGAAUUUCUAGUGUAGAGGUGAAAUGCGUAGAUAUUAGGAGGAAAACCAGUGGCGAAGGCGGCUUACUGGACUGUAACUGACGUUGAGGCUCGAAAGCGUGGGGAGAAAACAGGAUUAGAUACCCUUGGAGUC